This 238-nucleotide long non-coding RNA is filed under the name Lathyrus oleraceus (garden pea). RNAcentral's name for it is "Pisum sativum (pea) long non-coding RNA (PSAT_LNC024134)". The record is from RNAcentral. Lineage: Eukaryota; Viridiplantae; Streptophyta; Magnoliopsida; Fabales; Fabaceae.
GAAGUUUUCUGAAAAUUACCUUCAAUGAUAUGCAGUUCUUGAUAUGGCUUGCUCCAAACACGAUCUGAUCACACUUGAGAAGCUAGCAGGAAGUGAUUAGAGAGGUUGCAAGGCUUUGGAUCCUGGAGUUCUUAAAUCUCCAAUAGUUGAGAUUCAAACUCAAAUUUCAAAUUGAAACUUCUCAAGUUUUCCUUUAGAAUGAGAGGGUUUCAAUGGGGGGCAAAGUUGGCGCGCAAAG